RNAcentral lists this ribosomal RNA (501 nucleotides) under uncultured bacterium. RNAcentral describes it as "partial 16S ribosomal RNA". It matches the Rfam family "Bacterial small subunit ribosomal RNA", at positions 29 to 523 of the family's 1533-position model. The record is from RNAcentral.
AUUGAACGCUGGCGGCAUGCCUUACACAUGCAAGUCGAACGGCAGCACGGGUGCUUGCACCUGGUGGCGAGUGGCGAACGGGUGAGUAAUACAUCGGAACGUACCUUAUCGUGGGGGAUAACGCAGCGAAAGCUGUGCUAAUACCGCAUACGCCCUGAGGGGGAAAGCGGGGGAUCGCAAGACCUCGCGCGAUUAGAGCGGCCGAUGCCUGAUUAGCUUGUUGGUGGGGCAAGAGCCCACCAAGGCGACGAUCAGUAGCUGGUCUGAGAGGACCAUCGGCCACACUGGGACUGAGACGAGGCCCAGACUCCUACGGGAGGCAGCAGUGGGGAAUUUUGGACAAUGGGGGCAACCGUGAUCCAGCAAUGCCGCGUGAGUGAAGAAGGCCUUCGGGUUGUAAAGCUCUUUUGUCAGGGAAGAAACACCGGCUCUAACACAGUCCGGGAAUGACGGUACCUGAAGAAUAAGCACCGGCUAACUACGUGCCAGCAGCCGCCGUAA